RNAcentral lists this long non-coding RNA (838 nucleotides) under Elaeis guineensis (African oil palm). RNAcentral's name for it is "long non-coding RNA (EGUI_LNC035531)". The record is from RNAcentral. Lineage: Eukaryota; Viridiplantae; Streptophyta; Magnoliopsida; Arecales; Arecaceae.
UCCUGGGUUUGGAUAGGAUUAGAUUUGAUCUCUUGCAUAUGGGGUUAAAGGGUUUAACCCAUUUUAUUUUCUACUACGUAUUUCAAAAGUUUUAAAAUCUACACAUGCUGCCUACUCGAUUUCUAACAUCUUCAUGAUAAAAUAAUUCCAAGCAUUUUUUCAAGUGAAGAUGCACCCUCGGAGUAGGGGUUGGUUGUACACUUCUCCAUGAAAGGAUGUUACCAAUUUUCCCUCCGAUCUCUUUUUCAUUCAUGAGUGGAAGAGUCAAUUUUUCUUUACAUCCUCCUCACCUUUGUAGGGCUCACCAAUGAAGUCUAUAUUUUUGAAGCUUCUUGAGUUGACUAAAGUAGAGGUGAUAGUGAAGGAGUUGAAGCAGCUUAGGAUGCCCCCAUAUUUUAAGCUUCUCAACUGGGAUCUUUUUAAAAGAUUAUACUUCGAUAGUCUGACCUUGGAGGUAAGCAUUGGUACUUAGGUGUUUGAUCCUUAGAUUAUGAACUUAAAAUAUGUGGACUCUUGAGUUGGUGCAAGUUUAACAUUCUCUUGGAAGGAGUUAUCUGGUCCUCCAAAGAACAAGGAGAAGAAGAGGAAGAGGAUAACCUUACUCCCUUCUCUUGAAGCUGUUAUGACUGAAGUUACUAUUGCUGAGGUUGGAGCUAUCGAGGUUGAGUUAGUAGAUCAGCUGAAGAAGAAGUAAUCAAAGAGGAAGCAUGUUGCCUCUUCACUUAAUGUUGCUGUGGUCGAUAUAGUCCCUGUCGGGGAUGAUCUUCCCAAUGUGACAGAUGGAAGUGCUCUGGCUCUCUUAAGCAUUCCAUUUUCUUUUAUUUCCAGCUCCAUGCAG